Molecule: unclassified non-coding RNA, 941 nt
Filed under: Hevea brasiliensis (rubber tree)
Lineage: Eukaryota; Viridiplantae; Streptophyta; Magnoliopsida; Malpighiales; Euphorbiaceae
Source: RNAcentral
UUGCGCUGUUUUGUCUGUUGAAACGGCCUGGUAAGUCCGGUGCAUAUGACCCUGACCAGUCACAUUUUCAUAGCACCAUCUCAUUCAGGAAAGCUUGUAGGACUCGAUUAUUCACUUACCAAGAGCUGGAGGAAGCCACUAAAGGAUUUGAAGAUUGUCAGAAACUUGUGCAUGGUAGGAAUGGAACCAUAUAUGCAGGGGUCCUUGGAGAUGGUUCACAUGUAGCUGUGCACAAGGUACAGUGCCAAGAUCAAAGAGAUCUAAUGCAGGUCCUAUCCAGGAUUGAGGUUUUAUCUGCAGUUUCACACAGGAAUAUGGCACGUCUCCUUGGAUGUUGUAUCGACUCUGGCUACACUCCACUGGUGGUCCAUGAGUAUCCUGCAAAUGGUACCCUUGAGGAACAUUUGCACCAAAGUAGAGGACUAGAAAAAAUGGGCCUUGAUUGGUACAAGAGAAUGAACAUUGCCGCUGAAAUUGCAUGUGUCUUAGCCUUCCUGCAGUAUGAAAUAUUUCCUCCUAUCUUUCAUCAUAAUAUCAAAUCCGGCUGCAUAUUUUUAGAUGAAGAUCAGUCGGUUAGAAUUGCAGGGUUCAGGCUACUUGAAUCAUCAAGCCUUACAAAUGAAUCUUAUUCAAAUAAUAGAAGUGAUGUUUCUGACUUUGGUGUGGUGCUGCUAGAGUUAAUUACAGGUUCCAAGAACAAAGACCUCCCAGCUGCAGCAUUGCAGAAAAUCAGGAGUGGAAAGCUGGCAGAAAUUGCGGAUCCAGGUCUCUAUUAUCAUGAGCAACCUCCAUUUCGCAGAGAGCAAAUAGAGAUAGUUGCAGACAUAGCUACCAGAUGUCUGCUGUUCGGUGGAGAUGGCAAAAUUGGGAUGGUAGAAGUUGCUAGGGAGCUUGUGCACAUUACAAAAGAGAGCAUUGAUGGAAAUGGUAGUAAGCGGGGG